RNAcentral lists this ribosomal RNA (693 nucleotides) under uncultured bacterium. RNAcentral's name for it is "bacterial SSU rRNA". It matches the Rfam family "Bacterial small subunit ribosomal RNA", at positions 32 to 715 of the family's 1533-position model. The record is from RNAcentral.
AACGCUAGCUACAGGCUUAACACAUGCAAGUCGAGGGGCAGCAUGAACUUAGCUUGCUAAGUUUGAUGGCGACCGGCGCACGGGUGAGUAACACGUAUCCAACCUGCCGAUGACUCGGGGAUAGCCUUUCGAAAGAAAGAUUAAUACCCGAUGGCAUAGUUCUUCCGCAUGGUAGAACUAUUAAAGAAUUUCGGUCAUCGAUGGGGAUGCGUUCCAUUAGGUUGUUGGCGGGGUAACGGCCCACCAAGCCUUCGAUGGAUAGGGGUUCUGAGAGGAAGGUCCCCCACAUUGGAACUGAGACACGGUCCAAACUCCUACGGGAGGCAGCAGUGGGGAAUAUUGGUCAAUGGGCGCAAGCCUGAACCAGCCAAGUAGCGUGCAGGAUGACGGCCCUAUGGGUUGUAAACUGCUUUUAUAAGGGAAUAAAGUGAGUCUCGUGAGGCUUUUUGCAUGUACCUUAUGAAUAAGGACCGGCUAAUUCCGUGCCAGCAGCCGCGGUAAUACGGAAGGUCCGGGCGUUAUCCGGAUUUAUUGGGUUUAAAGGGAGCGUAGGCCGGAGAUUAAGCGUGUUGUGAAAUGUAGACGCUCAACGUCUGCACUGCAGCGCGAACUGGUUUCCUUGAGUACGCACAAAGUGGGCGGAAUUCGUGGUGUAGCGGUGAAAUGCUUAGAUAUCACGAAGAACUCCGAUUG